UACGUAGGGGGCAAGCGUUGUCCGGAAUUAUUGGGCGUAAAGCGCGCGCAGGCGGUUGAUUAAGUUUGGUGUUUAAGCCCGGGGCUCAACCCCGGUUCGCACUGAAAACUGAUCGACUUGAGUGUAGGAGAGGAAAGUGGAAUUCCACGUGUAGCGGUGAAAUGCGUAGAGAUGUGGAGGAACACCAGUGGCGAAGGCGACUUUCUGGCCUAUAACUGACGCUGAGGCGGCGAAAAGCGUGGGGAGCAAACAGGG
RNAcentral lists this ribosomal RNA (255 nucleotides) under uncultured bacterium. RNAcentral describes it as "partial 16S ribosomal RNA". It matches the Rfam family "Bacterial small subunit ribosomal RNA", at positions 524 to 777 of the family's 1533-position model. The record is from RNAcentral.